CUGAGUCCUGUAGUCAAGAGCAUCCUAGUCUUUCCACCUGCCCAUCAUUCAUGCCGCCCUCCUACAUCCCUCACUAUCAUCUUUCUUGCCCAUAAUCAGUAACAAAAGAGGAUGCUGCCACUCACCUUGGCAAAACCUGCAGCUCCUUUACUCAUGCCCCUCUUGCCAUCCCUUUAUGGAAAUGACAGGUAAAUAAUGUACCCAAUAGGCUGUCCUUACAUGCAUAAAAGUUGUUCAGUCAUUGAUCCCCUGGCAUUACAAAUUGCUGGGGUUCUGUGUUUGGAAGUGUCUCUCACAAGCUGAAGAACUCAUCUGGGCAGAUAAGAAAAUUAAGGCAUGGAGAGAUUAACUAGCUUGUCCAGGGCUACACAGCUGCCAGUGGCCUCAGACGUAGCAGCCACAGAUCUUGGAAGUCUAGCUGCCAGUGGUCAACAGGGGACGCCCUGACUGAUCCCCGUUUCCCGGGCCUCCACUACCUGAGGUCGCACAGUGAAGCCUUUCACGGGUUAAAGACAAGGAAAGGAGAAACAAAAGAAGGAAUAAAGU
Tupaia belangeri chinensis (Chinese tree shrew) is the source of this 546-nucleotide long non-coding RNA. RefSeq lists it as uncharacterized. Lineage: Eukaryota; Metazoa; Chordata; Mammalia; Scandentia; Tupaiidae. The record is from RefSeq and is a predicted model, not a curated record. The transcript is spliced from 3 exons.